Molecule: unclassified non-coding RNA, 338 nt
Filed under: soil metagenome
Description: partial contains 5.8S ribosomal RNA, internal transcribed spacer 2, and large subunit ribosomal RNA
Rfam family: 5.8S ribosomal RNA (bases 1-120)
Source: RNAcentral
GAUGAAGAACGCAGCGAAAUGCGAUAAGUAAUGUGAAUUGCAGAAUUCAGUGAAUCAUCGAAUCUUUGAACGCACAUUGCGCCCGCCAGUAUUCUGGCGGGCAUGCCUGUUCGAGCGUCAUUUCAACCAUCAAGCCCCAGGCUUGUGUGUUGGGUCUCGUCCCCCGUGGACGGGCCCGAAAGGCAGUGGCGGCGUCCCGACAUGGUGCCCGAGCGUAUGGGAAUCCUCUUCCGCUCGAAUCGGCCCAUGCGGCGCUGGUCGUAACCAAAUUUUUUACCGGUUGACCUCGGAUCAGGUAGGGAUACCCGCUGAACUUAAGCAUAUCAAUAAGCGGAGGA